GCGAGAGUGGCGGAACUGGUAGACGCACUGGAUUUAGGAUCCAGCGGCCCGUGCCGUGGGGGUUCGAGUCCCCCCUCUCGCACCA
RNAcentral lists this transfer RNA (85 nucleotides) under Deltaproteobacteria bacterium. RNAcentral describes it as "tRNA-Leu". It matches the Rfam family "tRNA". Rfam says of the family: Transfer RNA (tRNA) molecules are approximately 80 nucleotides in length. Their secondary structure includes four short double-helical elements and three loops (D, anti-codon, and T loops). Further hydrogen bonds mediate the characteristic L-shaped molecular structure. tRNAs have two regions of fundamental functional importance: the anti-codon, which is responsible for specific mRNA codon recognition, and the 3' end, to which the tRNAs corresponding amino acid is attached (by aminoacyl-tRNA synthetases). tRNAs cope with the degeneracy of the genetic code in two manners: having more than one tRNA (with a specific anti-codon) for a particular amino acid; and 'wobble' base-pairing, i.e. permitting non-standard base-pairing at the 3rd anti-codon position. Lineage: Bacteria; Pseudomonadati; Myxococcota; Myxococcia. The record is from RNAcentral.